Long non-coding RNA from Stegastes partitus (bicolor damselfish), 180 nucleotides. RefSeq lists it as uncharacterized. The transcript is spliced from 3 exons. The record is from RefSeq and is a predicted model, not a curated record. Lineage: Eukaryota; Metazoa; Chordata; Actinopteri; Pomacentridae.
CCUCCAUCCUCCUGGAAAUGUUGAAUCUACAAUCAGAGAAGAAACAACUGAAUGUGACAGGCUGCUCACAUGAAGAGAGUGAAGUGAGGAGUUUCCUGCAGUGUCUGCCUUAUAUCUCACAGCUCAGUGUCAUUCCUCAGUUAUCAGAACCUUCAGAAGAAACCAGGUUCUUUAGGAAUC